AUUGAACGCUGGCGGCAUGCUUUACACAUGCAAGUCGAACGGCAGCAUAGGUGCUUGCACCUGAUGGCGAGUGGCGAACGGGUGAGUAAUAUAUCGGAACAUGUCCGGAAGUGGGGGAUAACGUAGCGAAAGUUACGCUAAUACCGCAUAUGCCCUGAGGGGGAAAGGGGGGGAUCGCAAGACCUCUCGCUUUCGGAGUGGCCGAUAUCGGAUUAGCUAGUAGGUGAGGUAAAGGCUCACCUAGGCGACGAUCCGUAGCUGGUCUGAGAGGACGACCAGCCAAACUGGGACUGAGACACGGCCCAGACUCCUACGGGAGGCAGCAGUGGGGAAUUUUGGACAAUGGGCGCAAGCCUGAUCCAGCCAUGCCGCGUGAGUGAAGAAGGCCUUCGGGUUGUAAAGCUCUUUCAGCUGGAAAGAAAUCGUAUCUAUUAAUACUAGGUGCGGAUGACGGUACCAGCAGAAGAAGCACCGGCUAACUACGUGCCAGCCGCCGCCGUAA
RNAcentral lists this ribosomal RNA (502 nucleotides) under uncultured bacterium. RNAcentral's name for it is "partial 16S ribosomal RNA". It matches the Rfam family "Bacterial small subunit ribosomal RNA", at positions 30 to 523 of the family's 1533-position model. The record is from RNAcentral.